UCCUGGCUCAGGAUGAACGCUGGCGGCGUGCCUAACACAUGCAAGUCGAACGGAACUUUUACGAGCAAGGCUUCGGCCAAGCAAGUUUAAGUUAGUGGCGGACGGGUGAGUAACGCGUGAGCAACCUGCCUUUCAGAGGGGGAUAACGUUUGGAAACGAACGCUAAUACCGCAUAACGUAUGGAUAUCGCAUGGUAAUCAUACCAAAGAUUUUAUCGCUGAGAGAUGGGCUCGCGUCCGAUUAGGUAGUUGGUGGGUAACGGCUCACCAAGCCGACGAUCGGUAGCCGGACUGAGAGGUUGAACGGCCACAUUGGGACUGAGACACGGCCCAGACUCCUACGGGAGGCAGCAGUGGGGAGUAUUGCACAAUGGGCGCAAGCCUGAUUGCAGCAACGCCGCGUGAGGGAAGACGGUUUUCGGAUUGUAAACCUCUGUCUUUGGUGACGAAGAAGUGACGGUAGCCAAGGAGGAAGCCACGGCUAACUACGUGCCAGCCGCAGC
This 502-nucleotide ribosomal RNA is filed under the name uncultured bacterium. RNAcentral describes it as "bacterial SSU rRNA". It matches the Rfam family "Bacterial small subunit ribosomal RNA", at positions 17 to 518 of the family's 1533-position model. The record is from RNAcentral.